GGUAGGAUUACCCGCUGAACUUAAGCAUAUCAAU
RNAcentral lists this ribosomal RNA (34 nucleotides) under Fomitopsis pinicola. RNAcentral's name for it is "partial 28S ribosomal RNA". Lineage: Eukaryota; Fungi; Basidiomycota; Agaricomycetes; Polyporales; Fomitopsidaceae. The record is from RNAcentral.